UUCCCAUUGGUGUUUUGUCAGCUGAGUACUUACAGUCAUCUGUAGGAAAUAUGUGUCCAUCCUUGGGGAUGAGACAGGUGGGGGGCAGGGGAGGAGGGGUGGGAGAGGGAAAGAGAACUGGGAUUGACAUGUAAAACAAGCUUGUUUCUAAUUUAAAUUUUAAAAAAAUCUUUAAAAAAAAUCUGUCAGUCCAGGUAUCCCUUCCUUUCUGAAGCAUACUACACUGACACUGUGACCUGGUCAUAAGGUCGCUGGCCCACCAUGGGGAAAAGUAGCAAUUUUAUUGAUCCCCACAGAACUCAUAGGACGUUUCCUUUUCUAGAUUAUUUCUCUAGGGGUACUCACCCAAGAAAUAAUAACAAGCACUCCUCUCUUCUGUGUAAUUAAUGACCCCUAAACUCCACAAGUUGGGAUGCUGCUCUGUUGUUCUGGCUGGCUUCAAACUCCUGGACUUAAGCAAUUCUCCUGCCUCAGAUUCCUAUGUAGCUGAGUUGUGCACUACUGUGCCUGGUAGGAGUGGAUCGUGUUACUUCACAGUUUCUGUGUGUGACUGGCUCGGUAACUCGGGUAGGCAGCUCUGGUUCCAUCUCUCUGCAGCUAUCUGUGACCUGAGGCUGAGGAUUUACCUUCAAGAUAGCACAUAUGACUGGCGAGGUGGGGCUGGCUCUUAGUAUGAAGCCUAAGUUCCUAAAGUAGUAUUUUAAUUACUUAGUGUAAAGUAAGUUUUAAAAUUUUAAUUAAAUGAGUAUGAUUCUGGGCCAAGUACAGGGCAAGGGCAACAGAGGAGAUGGACAAGAGCACAGGAGGGAAGGGGAAGGAGGCUUAAGGGGAGUGGGCUCUUGACUCCAAGAAGCAAGCAGCUCAGUGGGGAUUUAUAGGUACCCACAGAAGACACUCAAGAUCAAGGAAUGGAAUAGAACUAGUUUCAUGCCCAGAGUAUUCCACAGUGGGGACAGAACUCUAACCGCAGGAGAAUCUCAAUGUUUUCAGUUGAAGCUAGACCAAACAGGACUGCCACCAUCUUGCCUAGAUCCCUAAAAUGGACUGACAGCACCAGGACUAUGGACAGUGGUGGAUUCUGGGAAUAUAGCAACAGGAUCAGAUGCUCAAGGUUCUCCUCUCCUCUCCCCACCUCUCCUCUCCUCUCCUUUCCUCUCCUCUUCUCUCCCUACCUUCCCUCUAUAUUUACAAUACUGGGGACUGAACCUAGGGCCUCAUAUACAUUUAAGCACUUUACCACUGAGCUACAUGCCCAUCCCAGUGAUUUUGUUUUUUCCCUGAGCAGGGUCACUAUAUCUAAAGCCCAAGACAGAGUAGACAUUUGAAGGUGGUUCCCGCCCUCCCAAGGGAGAGCCCAACCUGAAAGUAUGGAGCACCGUUCCCUGGACUGCAUAAAGGAAAAGGCUGGUUCAUCGUGGGCAUUCAUCAGUUCUCUUCUAAUGUGUGGCUCACAUUCCAGGUCAGAUUCUGCCAUAGCAGGGAAGUCAGUGGUGGUGGGGGGGGCGGUGGACCCUGAGGGAGCUCAUCAAAGGUGUGCAAAGGUGCACACUAGUGCUCACUUUCUCUACUUACACAGGACCCACCCACAAUUAAUUCAGAGCUUCCCGAACCAACUAACCUAAUCAAGAGACUCCCUCACACUGCUACCCGAAGACCCAGCUCCCAGGAGAUUCUUGAUGCUGUCCAGUUGACACCAAUGUCUCACCUAGAGACUCUUCCCUCUCUAGGAUGUAUGGUGACCAACCAGGCACCAACCAGGCAACUUCAGGGUUACCUUCAGGAGAAGCAGCCAGAAGAGAGACCAUGAUAAAACCUUUCCCCAGUAUUAUACACGUGUGACAAGCACGGCUCUCCUGAGCUGUCUCUAGUCCCUUAUUUUAACAACUCCACCUCAUGUAAGAACAUUUCUCUGUAUGUAUAGGAAAUAGCUUCAAAUGAUGUCACUGCCUGCAGAGAGGUGAUGGGUGACCUUUGACCCCCUUAUUUCUAUUUUUUGCCCAAAUUCCUUUUUAUAGAGAGUGCUCUACUCUUAUAUUCGGAAAGAUUUUUCUUUCCUUUCUAUUAUUUUUAAAAAGCUGUCAUAUUAUUGCAUAAUUCUUUUUUGUCUUUUUCUUCAAGAACUGGCAAAGAGUAAAGAAGAUUGUGACACCGACUCCAUCCUCAGGCCUCAAGCUCUGCCUUCCUGGAUUCCUCAGGUGCUUCCUGAUUCUGCAGUUCCCCAGCCCACUGCAGGGCCACCAGGACCUAGAGUCCAAGGGUCAGGAAAGAGCUUGAAGCUUGUUUUGGCAACACUGUUGUUAUCCAUAGCUGCAAAAGAGUCUGAGUCACCGGCUAUAGUUUACAGGAACCAGUUUAGGACAUGAACACAGAAGCAAAGAACUUAGGGACCCCCAAUGUGUAUUUAUCACCAAAGGUGAUCUGUGCUGUGCCAUCACCUGGAGUAGAAGGCUGCACAUGAAGGUGCCCUUCUCUGCUUGAGAUUAUAAGGUGUGACCCAGAGCUCUGCUUUUCUGGAGUGUCAUGGCCUACGUGCAGAUAAAUACACAGGUAUCUGGAGCCUAAGGAAAGUAACUGUCACCAGUGUGCAGCUGUAACUGGUUAGGGAGGAAAAGAGGUUGUGUGGGGGAGGGCGGGGGGGGGGAUAUAGGGGUAUGUCUGACAGUUCUCAUCUCAGUGAGUGUUUGGGAGAACAAAGCAGGUCAUUCAAACUCUGCCUUCCAUUGUUCAAGGUCAAUCUCUACAUUCAGCCUCCUUAUCCCAGGGCUGCCCAGACCCCAGGACUGACUGACUUGAGCACUAUGAGGAUGAAGGGCCUACUUAGAUGCUUGGUACCCAAGGAGGGAGUCACACACACCCUUCAUCCUUGAGUCAUCCGACUGAUGAGUGGUCUGACAGGUCCUAGCCUCAAAUACAGUUGAGGAAACUGAUGCUUAGUUUCUAGGCCUGUCCCCGGUCUGUGGGCACGAAAACAGUGGAGCAAGGAGGAUUGCACCCAGAGCGCUCGGAUGCUGCCUAGAACUGGGUGAGGUGACAAGCAGGGAAUGAGGGCCCCCUACCUCUAGCACUCUCUGGCAGUCCCAAGACCCCAAUUCUAGCCCUGUGGCUCCUCAGCCCAGGAUUGCAGAACCAGGGGAUUGGGAUAAAUCUUUAUAUUGUCUACUACCUAAGAAGGCCCUAAUACAAUAAGCUCAUUUUUAAAACUGAAACUGAAUGUCAUAGAACUCAUGCCUGUAAUUAAUACUAGCCUUGGACAACAUAACAUGACUGACCUCAAAAAAAAAAAUAAAUCAACAAAAUUUAAUUUUGUUGUUGCUAUUAUUUUGUUUUUCCAAAGUAGGGUUUCUCUAUGUAGUCCUGACUGUUCUGGAACUCUGUAGACCAGGAUGACCUCAAACUCACUGAUUCACUUGCCUCUCCCUCCCAAGGGCUGGGAUUAAAGGUGUUUACUACCACUGCGUGGCACAAAAUUAAAUUUAAAACUUUUAAAUAAAAUAACUUCUGCUCUUCAGAAUGUGUGUCACUAGGCACCGCCUACCACCCUCUUGUUCUUGUUAUCUGUGAGUACUGCCUUGUCUCUUGAGAAAUGAGGGAGUAUGGGGGGGGGGUGUGCAGGGACGGGGACCCCUGACCCGGACCAAGUGCUGGGACUACAGGUGUCUGCCACCACACUCAGACAGUGUCCCACAAUCUAAAAGCAUGCAAGGCCCCCCUCAGAGUGGCUGCUUUCUCUAUUCUGCUAAGUUCUGCCUCCAGACAGAUGUGUGUCCUAGUCAGUUCCUUCUUUUGGAGCAUUUGUCCACAGGUCUUCAGGUCCUAAGAACACCUAUGGAGGAGGCAUCUCGUGAAGCAGCUCUGUACCUCAGUGUGCAUUAGUCCUUUCCCCUUAGCCUUUCCACCUUCCCUGCUCUGUCCCCUUCUCCAGGGUUUUACUGUGUAGCCCAGGCUGUACUCAAACUCUCAAGCCUCCUACUUCAAACUUCAAGCUCUGGCAUUAUGGGCAUGUGUCACUAUAUACAGCCUGCUUUAAUUUCUUUAUAGUCCUCACCCACAUACGAAACAGUUUGACUUUGUGUCCACACUGCUCUUUCAAUUAAUGGAGACUACUGUGGUAGGGGAGAUGGCUCACUUGGGAAAGUGCCUGUCAUGCAAGAGUGAGGACCAGAAUUUGGAUCCCCAGCACAAAUGUGAAACUGCCACAGCACAUCUGUAACCCCAGUGGGUGGCAGACUCUGGGUGUGAUGACAGGUAACAUAAUACCUGACAAAAGUAGCAUAUUAAUGUCCAGUUUCAUCAUGGUAGGAGAGCUAGGGCAACCAGAACUUGAAGGAGCUGGUCACAUUUCGUCCAUCCACAGUCAGCAAAAGGAGAGGAAUGGAUAUUCAGUAUUAGCUAGCUUCCUUCAUUAUAUGCAGCCCAGGACCCAAACCCAGGGAACUACAAAAUCCUCCAUGUCAAUGAACUCAAUCAAGAUAAUCUCUCACAGGUUUGUUCAGAGGCUAACCUAAUAUAAAUCCCUCCCAAGUGCCUGGAGCUAGGCCUCCUAGGUGAUUCCAAAUCCUGUCAAGUUGACAAUCCACACUGAUCAUCUCAGGGACCUUCUCAAGUGGAGAGUGAUCAAGAAAGACACCAAUAUUGACACCUGGCCUCCUCAGACAUGUACACCGCACGCCCACACAUUUAAAUAUAUAUCCGAAUCCACAAACAUACUUUUUAAAAUCCUGGGCUUGGGCUGUAGCCCACCAGUGGAGUGCCUUGCUAGCAUGUGUGAGGCUCUGAGCACCAUCACUACCAUUGCAACAAAUACACUUACAAACAGCGCUUAAGGGCAAGUGUUUGCCUGGCUCAAUCCCAGGGUCUGGUGCAUUCUGGGCACAGUGGAUUUGACCGAAACACUCAUUGGUGCUCGAACUGACUGGAGAAGGAACACCAAACCCAACCGUGAAGAUGGGCUGAAUGUCUCAGGACUGGAGAGGGAAGCCAGAGAGUUCCCUGCAUCCCAGGGGCAGGCUGUGGCCAGGAGCGUGGGCGGGUUAAAUGGAAGAUAAAAUAAAUGCUAGCAUCCCUCCAGGUCUGUUCGCAGUGCUGCUGAGGAGGUCGCAUAACGGAGCAGGGAAUUCCUAGCAAGAGUUUCAGGAUGAUUGAUAGGUGGUAGGAUAUCCGUCUCGACGUCCUUAACUAAGUGCUCUCUCGCGGGAGCCCAGGAUUUCAGAAGACAAAGACAUUCAGAAGAGUCUGAAACCAGGGAUUUGUCCCCUAGGAUUUCAGAAGUAAGGAAAGCCCAUUACCCAACCUUUUAGGGACAAACACUGAGGUCCUGUUUCCGAAGGUCUCCCUAAGACCUGAGAUUUGCUGCAAGCACACACAGCAGGCACUCUUACACACGGGUUAGACUGGUAGUCCAGCGGUCCAGCCCUCAGCAGCAGCACGCAGCACACACGGCUCACACGCGGGGCUGCAUCCUUUUUAUUCACCCGGUGACUCAACACAGGCUUCUCCAGAUCCCCACCCUAAGGAUGCAUCCCCACCGCAGCUACUUGCCUUCCUAGCCCCCUCCACCCAAUUCCUAAUUCCAUUGUCAGGGUUGAACAAAAGGCCCAGGCAUGGCAUCCUGGGUUGAAGGAUUUUUAACUCUGCCAAUCCCAGGAGGCUCCGACGUACAGCAGCUUCCUGUGGGAGAAUAGUGACUGAGACAUCUCCCUCAGGCUACUGAGGUUUGGAUUUGUUUCUGUCCCGUCGAUGUCUGUCUCUGUCCCCGAGUUUUCAUCCCGGUCCGUGACCACCCUCCUCGGGGUGGGGGUUCUCUGUGUAGCCCUGGCUGUCCUGGAACUCUGUGGGCCAGGCUGGCCUCUAAAUCAGAGAUCUACCUGCCUUGGCCUCCGGAGCGCCGGGUUUAAAGGCGUGCGCCACUCUGCCGGGCUUUGUUUCUAUUUUUAAGAACUGAAACAAGUUUCCAAUCGGACACUCCCCAGGAUGUCCCCAGAGAACUCCCAGAGGCCAUCGGGUCUUGAGGUCCGGAUGACUUCCGAGGUGUGAGACUGGAGCAAUUCCCAUAGGGUCUUCCCUACAGUCCCGGGUCCAGCUCGGCUGGGACAUCCCAGCGGGGAAUUGGCGGGGGAAGACGGCGCGUUCUGGAACAAAUCUGCAUUAGUGCACAAGCCCUGUUCAGCCCACCUGGCGUUAAAGUUAACCUCACCUCAACGCGGGCUAAAUUCUCCACCAGACAGAGACGAGCCGGAAGAGAAACGUGCUGGGGAAGCCCCAGCCCUUCAGAGUUGAUGGUGAAGAACCCCAGACUCUGCUGAAGGCUUCCUAUGAAGUUCAGACCACAGAAAAUGAUGGCAUCAAGCACAGAUGAAAAGGAACAGUGUGUAACUGUGUGUGCUCAGGCACCAUUAAUAUGUGUUGAGCAUUUCACAGAGCAAGUUCACAGACACGCAUGUGUCCUGCAGAGUGAGAGCAGAGACAAAACCAGGAUCCUGAAGUCCUGUGAGAGAUCUGUGGGCAGUGGUCACUCAGACCUGGGCCAAGGAUGGGGUUCUUCUGUGAUGAUGGGAGAAAGUGUCCUGGACAAACAGGGGAGAGCAUGGAUGUGGAGCUGUGUGCUGUGUGCAAGGCUGAGCAGGGAGAGCACGGAUGUGGAGCUGUGUGUGAAGGCCGAGUCCUUCGUCUCUUCUGUUUUUACCUGUUUCAUCUGUAAUCGGGCUCUUCCUAGAGGCUUAACCUGGUCCAGGGUUCCUUAUGUCCUCCUUCCCAGCCUGUGUCUUCCUCCACAUCCUGCCACUGUUAUGUUCUGUGUUACAACAAGUUAGACUCAACAAAGCCAAGGAGCACAAGGUGAACCCUCUGAAACUGUGAACCAAAGAAAUAUUUCCUCCUUUUUACCCAGGUAUUUGGCCACAAUGACAAAAAACAAAGAACACAUAUGCACACACACACAACCAAACGAAAACUAACACAGCAAGUUAGCUAAAUCAAACAAACAAAACCUAUCCCAAAGGAUUCAGCCUCCAGACAUACUCUGCCAGCUGCUGUUCAAGACUCAGAGAUUGUCCUCACACACUCCUGGGUCACUCCAGUGGACACCUCGCUGUCCUCACACUCCUGGGUCACACCAGUGGACACCCUGCUGUCCUCACACACUCCUGGGUCACUCCAGUGGACACCCUGCUGUCCACACACUCUUGGGUCACACCAGUGGACACCCUGCUGUCCAGCACCACUGGCUGUGUAGACUACACCUCUCAUGGUGGUAAACUUGAGGACAUCCUGGCUUCUAGCCCUUGGUCCCCACUAAAGGCAUCCCUUUCCUACAUAAAGCAGCAUUUCAAUUCUUAUCCAGAAAUAAGAAUCUUAUUUCUUAUCCCUGGAUGCCAUUUAUAUCAAAAGGGUCAGGGGUGUGCAAAGUCAAAACUGUUUCGCAAUGAGAUGUAUUGGCUUUGUCUUCUCUUGUCCUCCCCUUAUGGGCAUAAAGCCAAGUGCUUUGGGAAAACUCAGUCACUGUCACAACAGAGCAAAUGCAGAAGCAAACAGGCGAAACAGGCGACCCCAUCUGUCGUUUAUUAAGCUAGACAGAAAAAAAUGGCAUAAAUGUAAAAUAGUACCAUACGUACCAUUUUUUUGUUUCAUAAACUGUAUUUUUCUAAAUAAACCCGCAUGCAUUAUUGUAAGAAGUAACUAUCUUCUGGAUUCUCAGUUUUCACUCAUAAGCUGGCAAACGUUGAGAGGUACAACCCACAUAGGCAGGCAAUCCUCUCUGAGGUC
RNAcentral lists this long non-coding RNA (7761 nucleotides) under Cricetulus griseus (Chinese hamster). Its description in RNAcentral is "lncRNA (ENSCGRG00015040717.1)". The record is from RNAcentral. Lineage: Eukaryota; Metazoa; Chordata; Mammalia; Rodentia; Cricetidae.